GGCCCGCACAAGCGGUGGAGCAUGUGGUUUAAUUCGAUGCAACGCGAAGAACCUUACCUACACUUGACAUCCAGAGAACUUACUAGAGAUAGUUUGGUGCCUUCGGGAACUCUGAGACAGGUGCUGCAUGGCUGUCGUCAGCUCGUGUUGUGAGAUGUUGGGUUAAGUCCCGCAACGAGCGCAACCCUUAUCCUUAGUUGCCAGCGAUUUGGUCGGGAACUCUAAGGAGACUGCCGGUGAUAAACCGGAGGAAGGUGGGGACGACGUCAAGUCAUCAUGGCCCUUACGUGUAGGGCUACACACGUGCUACAAUGGCAUGUACAGAGGGUAGCGAACUUGCGAGAGUAAGCGGAUCCCAUAAACCGUGGCUCAGUUCAGAUCGUAGGCUGCAACUCGCCUACGUGAAGGCGGAAUCGCUAGUAAUCGCGAAUC
RNAcentral lists this ribosomal RNA (432 nucleotides) under uncultured bacterium. RNAcentral's name for it is "bacterial SSU rRNA". It matches the Rfam family "Bacterial small subunit ribosomal RNA", at positions 918 to 1350 of the family's 1533-position model. The record is from RNAcentral.